Molecule: non-coding RNA, 755 nt
Filed under: Epeurysa nawaii
Lineage: Eukaryota; Metazoa; Arthropoda; Insecta; Hemiptera; Delphacidae
Source: RNAcentral
UAAGGAAUUAUUUGAUCAAAUUAGGGGAAAGGCUAUUAAGUGAAAAUAGAUGUAAAAUUUUAAAUAGGGGUUUCGUUUAAAAAAUAGUCGGGUGGUAUUUUCAGUGUAGAGAAUUAAAGAAGCUAUGGGGGGUAGUUUUAGUCAAUUUAGAUUACAUUGGGGAGAAUAAAAAUGUGCCAGCAUUCGCGGUUACACAUUAUCCUAGAAUUUUUUAUAUUAAAGGGGAGAAUAGGGCAUUUUAAAUUUAAUUAUUUUAAUGGGGGUGAAAUAAAUUAAAAUUAAUAAUUUGCUUGAUUUCUUUGAAAUUUUGAGUAUAAACUAGGAUUAGAUACCCUAUUAUUCAAAAAUAAAAUUUUACUUUUUAGUAUUUUAGUGACAUAAUAAAUUAAAUUGAUUUGGCGGUUUAUUAAACUUUUUAGAGGAACCUGUAAAUUAAAUUGAUGAACCACGAUUAAUUUUACCUUAAUUUUCUUGUAUAUCUCUAUAAUUGAAUAUAUUUUGAGAUUAAUUUUCUUUUUUUUGUAAUCCAAAUUUUAAUUUAGGUCAAGGUGCAGGUAUAUUUAGGAUUUAAUGGGUUACAUUUAUUGAAGUUAAUGGUUAAAUUUACGUUUAAUUAAUUUAAUAAAAUUGGAUUUAAAAGUAAAUUUUUUUUUUAAAAUUAUUGAAUAAUGCUCUGAUUUAUGUACAUAUCGCCCGUCAUUCUCAUUACUUGAGACAAGUCGUAACAAAGUAGAUGUAUUGGAAAAUGUAUCUAG